This 447-nucleotide ribosomal RNA is filed under the name uncultured bacterium. Its description in RNAcentral is "bacterial SSU rRNA". It matches the Rfam family "Bacterial small subunit ribosomal RNA", at positions 355 to 825 of the family's 1533-position model. The record is from RNAcentral.
UCGGGAAUUUUGGGCAAUGGGGGAAACCCUGACCCAGCAACGCCGCGUGAAGGAUGAAGUAUCUCGGUAUGUAAACUUCGAAAGAAUAGGAAGAAUAAAUGACGGUACUAUUUAUAAGGUCCGGCUAACUACGUGCCAGCAGCCGCGGUAAUACGUAGGGACCAAGCGUUGUUCGGAUUUACUGGGCGUAAAGGGCGCGUAGGCGGCAUGACAAGUCACUUGUGAAAUCUCUGGGCUUAACCCAGAACGGCCAAGUGAUACUGUCGCGCUAGAGUGCAGAAGGGGCAAUCGGAAUUCUUGGUGUAGCGGUGAAAUGCGUAGAUAUCAAGAGAAACACCUGAGGUGAAGACGGGUUGCUGGGCUGACACUGACGCUGAGGCGCGAAAGCCAGGGGAGCAAACGGGAUUAGAUACCCGCGUAGUCCCUGAGCGGGCUGGCAAGGCGCAU